UAAAAUAAUUUCCCUCCCAUGGCAGCUCAACUAGGCCUGAUUGCUGAAUGCAAUUAUUAAAAUCAACAAGGUCCCUUUGCUUCACUUGUUGGCUUGAUUGUCUUUCCUUGCUAGACAGAAUUGCAUUAAAAUCUCCUGCAAUGAUCCAGGGAUCAGUAAUACCAGCAGAUAAGUUUAGAAUAUCCUUCCACAGCAUCCUCCUUUG
RNAcentral lists this long non-coding RNA (205 nucleotides) under Nicotiana benthamiana. RNAcentral's name for it is "long non-coding RNA (NBEN_LNC026388)". Lineage: Eukaryota; Viridiplantae; Streptophyta; Magnoliopsida; Solanales; Solanaceae. The record is from RNAcentral.